CGAAACACAGUAAUAAGGAAAGUAAAACUUACACUGCUGACACAGAGAGUCUUUGAUACGCUGAAAGAAGACGCGGAAAGAAAGUUCGAAAAUGGCCUUUGAGUGUUGAUGCCAAUAUGAGGUAUCAACGGGAUCGCCCGUUAUAGCGAUACAGUAUUAACAUUUUGUUCAAUGGCGUACUGGAUUUAUCCACGCGUCGUAUACUUCGUUAGUACUCAUUUUAUUUCACUUUAAGAUGAGUUUUAUUUUUUAACGAGGCUGCGAUGUCAUGAUUCAGUUUACGUUAUAAAGUUAACAUUUUGGCGUACUGGAUAAGGUUACUUUAGUGAUAAGGUAACAAACAAAGGUGGUACCGCGAGCUAAGCUUUCGUCCUUUAC
This 378-nucleotide non-coding RNA is filed under the name Staphylococcus succinus. RNAcentral's name for it is "T-box sequence". It matches the Rfam family "T-box leader". Rfam says of the family: Uncharged tRNA acts as the effector for transcription antitermination of genes in the T-box leader family. T-boxes are found upstream of many aminoacyl-tRNA synthetase genes and some amino acid biosynthetic genes usually in Gram-positive bacteria. Lineage: Bacteria; Bacillati; Bacillota; Bacilli; Caryophanales; Staphylococcaceae. The record is from RNAcentral.